CCCAGCUCAUUCUUAGCUAACUAGUGUGUGUGAAAAAGAGACAGUGUUAAAAUAUAUAUGGUUUAAACUGAUAAGGAAAUGAUCAGUUAUUGAGCUUAUCCAUGAUUGCUAAUUCAGGUAGAGAUGGCUUAUAAGUAAGUGUUCGGGGCUGCUUACGGGAAGAAAAAAUGAAAGUUAGGGAUUUCCUUUGGAUGCUGGGAAACAAAACUCCAACUGGGUUCUGACAAACAUACCAUGUGCAUUGUCCUGUGGAGACAUGACAAUGUAAACCCAUAAACAAAUCGAUUACGUUUUGGUGACAACUAUUGUGAAGAGAAUGGCCAUAGUAUUUGCUGCUUCUCCUUUUAAUAGGUAGCAUCUCUCCUCUUACUCCCUUGAAUCUGAGAUAGCCUUAUGAAGUGAUAUUGUGCCAGUUCUGAGACUAGGCCUCAAGAAGCCUCGAAGCUUCCAAUCUUGCACUUUUUUGUUUGUUUUGAUACAGGUGCUUGUUCUGUUGCCCAGCCUAGAGUGCAGUGGCACAAUCAUGGCUCACUACAGCCUCAAUCUCAUGGGCUCAAGCAAUCCUCCCAUCUCAGCCUCCCAAAUAGCUGGGACUACAGGCAUGCAGCACCACCCCACCCUCCCCACCCCCAGCUAAUUUUUUAAAAUUUUUUUGUAGAAGACCAGGCGUGGUGGCUCACACCUGUAAUCCCAGCACUUUGGGAGGCUGAGGCAGGCAGAUCACCUGAGGUGGGGAAUUCAAGACCAGCCUGACCAACACGGAGAAACCCAUCUCUACUAAAAAUACAAAAUUAGCUGGGCGUGGUGGCUCAUGCCUGUAAUCUCAGCUACUCAGGAGACUGAGGCAGGAGAAUCGCUUGAACCCAAGAGGCAAAGGUUCUGGUGGGCUGAGAUUGCGCCAUUGCACUCCAGCCUGGGCAACAAGGGCGAAACUCCAUCUCAAAAAAUUUUUUUUUUUACAGAUGGGCUCUCACUAUGUUGCCCAGGCUGGUCUUGAACUCCUGGGCUCAAGAAAUCCCCCAACCUUGGCCUCCCAAAGUGCUGGGAUUACAGGUGUGAGUCAUCAUGCCCAGCCCCAAUCUCAUACUCUUGAAAUCCUAAAGCCAUGUGAAGAAUCCAGGCCUAGCUUGCUGGAUGAUGAGAGACACAGUCCCCCUAAUGCCCCAGGUGACAGUCACUCAAUACCAGACAUAUGAGUGACACCAUCUAGGACUAGCCAGCCUCAACAACCCAACUAGUGACCUCAGCUGCAUGGGCAAGUCCAGCCAAGAUAAGCUGAGCUGGAUCCAGACUAUAAGAAUUACCUGGAAGAACGCAAACUAAUGAAAGAUUGUUGUUUUAAGCCAAUGAGCUUUGGGGUGAUUUGUUAAUUGGCAAUAGAUAACUGAUAUUCAAGGAUUCAUCCAAAGUUCCCUUAAAAGAUAGAACCCAUUAAGUCAUUUUAAACACUUAUAAGCAAGUUAUUAAAUCCUUAAAAGAAACUGAAAGUUUCUAAGGUAUACUGGGUUGGAAAAAGGAAAAGAAAAAGAAACUAAAAGUGAAGGCUGAAACUGACAAGUAAGGAGUUAUUUCUCCCUGCAAAUGUAAUCAGAAAAUAAGGUGGAGUGUCUCUGAAUGCAUAACUGGAACAAGGAAACAAUCUAAUGGUUUUAGUAGUAAAUAUAUGAUUUCAGGGGCACAUCCAGUGGAAUGAUGGAGUCAGUGCACAACAACUUGUAAGACCCAGUCAUGGAAACUGGCAAACAUUACAAGUUAGAACCAGUUGUUAAAUCUUCAUUAGUACAUCACUGGACACAUCUAUUGCUAAAGGCACAUUUCAUCAGUAUGUAUAUGCAUAAAUAUACAUAUAAGAUGUCCUUAAUGUUUAAAAAAGACAUUGGUUGGUUCUGCCACAAUCUGUGAUCUUGGGCAAGUCAAUUAGUGUCUUUGGAUCUGUUUCCAAAUCAGUCCCCAAAAAUCAUCUUUAAGAUGUCUUUCAGCUUUACGAUUCUAUCUUCUAUGCUCUUAUGGUAAUUACACCUGGAUGCAGCAAUUGAAAAGUCCAAUGGGAUCAAUCCAAAUUGCCACACUUAACCAUGUUACUGACUACAUAUAUUACUCAUCAAGACAAUUAUUCAAGUAAGUGGCAUAAUAGUAAUCCAAUGUACUUUGCAUUAUGAGUGAAGAAGAGACUAAUUUUGACUAGAGGGGAAAGAAGGGAUGGUCAUAGCAAGAUACUUUGUCAAUCAGGAAUGAGGGCUAUCUUUGAACCCACAGUGGCUUGAACUCUAUAGGUGCUUAAUAAAAUUUGCCGAAAAGAUUACAUGCUUAGAGACAACAUUAUAAAGAAAAGACAUUCUUGCUGAAUUGAAGACUCAGAAGAGGCUGGGCACAGUGGCUCACCCUUGUAAUCCCAGUAUUUUGGGGGGCCAAGGUGGGCAGAUCACCUGAGGUCAGGAGUUCAAGACCAGCCUGGCCAACGUGGUGAAACCCCAUCUCUACUGAAAAUACAAAAAAUCAGCCAGGCAUGCUGGUGCACGCUCAUAAUCCCAGCUACUCGGGAGGCUGAGGCAGGAGAAUUGCUUGAGCCUAUGAGGCGGAGGUUGCAGUGGGCUGAGAUCAUGCCACUGGCCACUGUACUGCACUCCAGCCUGGGUGACAAAAGUGAAACUCCAUCUCAAAAAAAAAAAAAAAAAAAAGACUCAGAAGUAAUCAUAAGGUUCUACUUGCUAUUCUCACAUGUAAUUGUGAGACUCUGCCUCCAUUUCUCCAUCUAAAAACAGGAGCUCAUUUACAAGCAACAUGACAAGAAUUCAAGCAGUCAUGGCUGUGAAGCAUUUCUGCAGAAGGAUAUGCUAUGUAAGUAUGAGGUUGUUACUAAAUCAAAAUGAAUGCCUUUGUGCAAAACUAGAAAGCACAUUACAUAUUGUUCCUGAGUAUUCCUUCCCAGUGCAUUCAAAAUAUUCUCACAUUCACAAGGUUAAACAGCACAUUAAAAAAUAGUAGGAGGCUGAUGGCUGAGCUCAAUUGGGAGUAUCUUUCUUUGGUGUUAGAAUGUUUGAAAAUUAUUUUGGGAAGACUAUGAGCAAGUUAUUUUGAACUUCUGGGGAAAAAAAAAAAUCUGAAGAAGCAUUCCCUUUGCCUAAAAGCAAAGGAGACAUUUAUUUAUGCCUUUAGCAAAUAAAAUAGUUUGCUUACUACCAGUGUUUGUGGGCUGAUAUUCAACUCAUCUUCUGGAAAUUUUAAAAAUACACAUUGAAACUGAAAAAGUAUUCUUUGAGUAAGGGUUUACCUGAAGUGCCCAGAACCAUCCAAAAUGAUGGCACAUUAUAUCUUUUUUUCUUAAAAAUUUUUGGAAUCUAAUUGAAGAUGCCUCUUAGAAUAUGUGGAAACCACACGUGCUAUCUUGCAUAUCACUAUCAUUUCAGUUCUAAUGUUAUUAGGUGUUUAGCUACAGGCAAGUAGAAUUAGGGCAUGAUGUGACAGACUGUAAUGAGUUGCUGAGAAACUACAUACUCUAUCCCCAGGAAAACACAUAUUCUCAAAAUUCUACACAAUUUCAGGAAUUUCAUAGAUGCCCCUACCCCAAAUCCCAUUCAUGAAAUCCUUAGCUUAAAAUCCUGUGCACUAGAGCAAUGUAUUUUAUAAAACCAUAUUCAGAUGCCUGUGAAGCAAUGAAUGUGCUAGGCAAUGUUAGGCGGUAGAAACAGUGAUACACGUAGUCAGACAGGGUACCUAGAAGUCAUGGAGCUUAUAGGCUAGUAGGGGAUAUGGACAUUUACCAAAUAAUCACACAAAAAGAUGCCUAAUUACAAACUCUGAUUAAGUGCUAUGGAGAGAUAUACAGUGUUGCACGUAACAACAGAAUCUAAAGAAGUUACAUUUUAGGGGGCAUAUAAACAAUGUUGUGCAGGGGAGGUAGAAGAAACACAUUAUGGUAAAGGGCUGCAAAGGAAAUAAGCCCAUAAUAAGGCCUCUUAUAGGUUUAAGCUAGGACCUGAAACUUGUAUACUUUAUAUGCUUUGAAAUGAGACAUACAUUAAAGUGGCUGAUCAAAUUAAAACAUUUUCCAGUCUUUGCCUACUAAAUUGAUAAAGAUUUUUUAAAAUUUUAAUAGAACUAAAGAGAAAAUAUUUCUAUAUACUGAUGUUAGGAGUAUGCAGUUUAGGCCAGGCAUGGAGGCUCACACCUAUAAUCCCACCCAGCACUUUGGGAGGCCAAGGUGUGUGGACACUUGAGGUCAGGAGUUCGAGACCAGCCUGACCAACAUGGUGAAACCCUGUCUCUACUAAAAAUGCAAAAUUACCUGAGUAUGGUGGUGCACACUUGUAAUCCCAACUACUUAAGGAGGCUGAGGCAGGAGAAUCACUUGAACCCGGGAGGUGGAGGCUGCAGUGAGCCAAGAUCGCGCCAUUGCAUUCCAGCUUGGGCAGAGCAAACCUCCAUCUCCAAAACCCAAAAAGUAUACAGUUUAAACCACUGACUUUAAAAAUGUACAUAAACAUGGAUGCCGGACAUGGUGAUUCAACGAUUGCACUUACAGAAACAAAUCUAAGAAAACAGUAAUGAUCUUGCCAGCUUCUGAUGAGAUUAUAAGAAAAAAAAAAGAAGAAAUAAAUUUAAAAAAAAAAUAAAAAAAGAAAAUGGUAAUAAUCCACCAGGAUGUUAAUAACAGCAUUAUUCACAAGAUGGAACAGAAACAAUGAUUUUGUCUAACAGCAGGGAGUUAAUUAAAUUAUGACAAGCCAGAUUAUAGAAUAAUAUGCACCCAUUAAAUCAGAGUACUUAAUGAUACGGAAAAAAUUCCUAUUAAGUGAAAAAAGCAUUACAAAACAGCAUAUAUUAUGAGCUCUAUUUUUAUUUUUGAAAUAUAUUUAUGCAGAGAAAUACAAAAUGUUAACAAUAUUAUCUUAAA
RNAcentral lists this long non-coding RNA (4894 nucleotides) under Homo sapiens (human). Its description in RNAcentral is "HSALNT0193207". Lineage: Eukaryota; Metazoa; Chordata; Mammalia; Primates; Hominidae. The record is from RNAcentral.